AGAGUUUGAUCAUGGCUCAGAUUGAACGCUGGCGGCAGGCCUAACACAUGCAAGUCGAGCGGUAGCACAGAGAGCUUGCUCUCGGGUGACGAGCGGCGGACGGGUGAGUAAUGUCUGGGAAACUGCCUGAUGGAGGGGGAUAACUACUGGAAACGGUAGCUAAUACCGCAUAAUGUCGCAAGACCAAAGUGGGGGACCUUCGGGCCUCAUGCCAUCAGAUGUGCCCAGAUGGGAUUAGCUAGUAGGUGGGGUAACGGCUCACCUAGGCGACGAUCCCUAGCUGGUCUGAGAGGAUGACCAGCCACACUGGAACUGAGACACGGUCCAGACUCCUACGGGAGGCAGCAGUGGGGAAUAUUGCACAAUGGGCGCAAGCCUGAUGCAGCCAUGCCGCGUGUGUGAAGAAGGCCUUCGGGUUGUAAAGCACUUUCAGCGGGGAGGAAGGCGAUAAGGUUAAUAACCUUGGCGAUUGACGUUACCCGCAGAAGAAGCACCGGCUAACUCCGUGCCAGCAGCCGCGGUAAUACGGAGGGUGCAAGCGUUAAUCGGAAUUACUGGGCGUAAAGCGCACGCAGGCGGUCUGUCAAGUCGGAUGUGAAAUCCCCGGGCUUAACCUGGGAACUGCAUUCGAAACUGGCAGGCUAGAGUCUUGUAGAGGGGGGUAGAAUUCCAGGUGUAGCGGUGAAAUGCGUAGAGAUCUGGAGGAAUACCGGUGGCGAAGGCGGCCCCCUGGACAAAGACUGACGCUCAGGUGCGAAAGCGUGGGGAGCAAACAGGAUUAGAUACCCUGGUAGUCCACGCCGUAAACGAUGUCGAUUUGGAGGUUGUGCCCUUGAGGCGUGGCUUCCGGAGCUAACGCGUUAAAUCGACCGCCUGGGGAGUACGGCCGCAAGGUUAAAACUCAAAUGAAUUGACGGGGGCCCGCACAAGCGGUGGAGCAUGUGGUUUAAUUCGAUGCAACGCGAAGAACCUUACCUGGUCUUGACAUCCACAGAACUUUCCAGAGAUGGAUUGGUGCCUUCGGGAACUGUGAGACAGGUGCUGCAUGGCUGUCGUCAGCUCGUGUUGUGAAAUGUUGGGUUAAGUCCCGCAACGAGCGCAACCCUUAUCCUUUGUUGCCAGCGGUUAGGCCGGGAACUCAAAGGAGACUGCCAGUGAUAAACUGGAGGAAGGUGGGGAUGACGUCAAGUCAUCAUGGCCCUUACGACCAGGGCUACACACGUGCUACAAUGGCAUAUACAAAGAGAAGCGACCUCGCGAGAGCAAGCGGACCUCAUAAAGUAUGUCGUAGUCCGGAUUGGAGUCUGCAACUCGACUCCAUGAAGUCGGAAUCGCUAGUAAUCGUAGAUCAGAAUGCUACGGUGAAUACGUUCCCGGGCCUUGUACACACCGCCCGUCACACCAUGGGAGUGGGUUGCAAAAGAAGUAGGUAGCUUAACCUUCGGGAGGGCGCUUACCACUUUGUGAUUCAUGACUGGGGUGAAGUCGUAACAAGGUAACCGUAGGGGAACCUGCGGUUG
This 1520-nucleotide ribosomal RNA is filed under the name Klebsiella sp. C31. RNAcentral's name for it is "bacterial SSU rRNA". It matches the Rfam family "Bacterial small subunit ribosomal RNA". The record is from RNAcentral. Lineage: Bacteria; Pseudomonadati; Pseudomonadota; Gammaproteobacteria; Enterobacterales; Enterobacteriaceae. RNAcentral also lists the same sequence under 1 other name.